Long non-coding RNA from Numida meleagris (helmeted guineafowl), 1180 nucleotides. RefSeq lists it as uncharacterized. The record is from RefSeq and is a predicted model, not a curated record. NCBI's taxonomy places the organism in Eukaryota, Metazoa, Chordata, Aves, Galliformes, Numididae. The transcript is spliced from 3 exons.
UAACAAUUUCCUUCAUCCAGUUUCCUGCAUCACAUCAUUACCAGUGAUGAGGUGUGGUGUCACUACUACAAGCUGGAGUCAAAACAGCAGUCCAUUGGGUGGUAACUUGUGAAUUCCCCAUCAAAGAAAAUGACACAGCCCUCAGCAGGUGAUGUACACUCUCUUUUGGCAUAGGAAAGGGGUGAUUCUUCUGGAUUUUCCGGAGCCCAAACAAACCCUUAACUCUGAACUCUACAUUGCAACACUGACUAAGCUGAAGGCUUGAACUGACAGAGUCAGGCCAGAGAAGAAGACAACCUUUCCCUUGUGACAUAAUAAUGCCAGGCCCCAUACCGUUUUGAAGUCUGUGGAGCGCAUCAUCGAUCUUGGAUGGACUGUCCUACCACAACCACUGUAUAGUCCAGAUUUGGGACCUUCUGUCUUCUAUCCAUUCUGGGUGAUGAAAGAUGGACUGCAUGGGCAACGUUUUCCUAGCAAUUAUGCCAUCAUAGCAGCUGUGAAAUAGUGGGUCACUUCUGUUAGAGCAGAUUUUUAUGAGUGCAGCGUGCAGGCUCUUGUUCAUCACAGAACACAAACUUUCACUUAAAAUGGAAUACAAGGGGAGCCGAUCAAGCUAACAGAUGCCAACACUUUCUUGUGCAUGGAUUUUACCUUCCAAGUUGCAUCAUCUCCUUCCAAAGUGGCUGCACCUAAGAAUCCCCUAAAGCUUCUUUUCUGCGCUAUGAUGUAAAGCACUGAAGAACUAUAUGCAAUGCAGAGCAGAGGACGCAGCAACACUGCUUUUAUGCUGACUGGUUGUGUCUAACUCAUCCUCUACACAUAGUGAAAUUUAUGCAGAUGUCAAGAGUCUCAAGAUGCAAAAGUGUUGCAUUAUGUUAUAUUUAAACAGCAAUGGGAUAGCCGAGUGGUUUAUAUCAUAGAAAUUCCCAGAAAUAAAAUACAGAAUUAUGAAAUAAGUGUCUCUCACUUAUCCAGGUACAGAAUUAACCUUUUUCCCAACCAUCUUUCAGCAUGAAAACAUUAUUAUUUCUGGAUAGGAUAACCCAAGGAAGCAGGCACUUGAUAUGUAAUCCAUGUAUUUCCUUUUUUCAUAUGAAAUUUUGCACAGAUAGACAGUCACAGAGGGAAACAAUAAACAGAAUACUUUAAGCAUUGAACAUAGUAAUAUCAGUUUAAAAGA